GAUGAAGAACGUAGCGAAAUGCGAUAAGUAAUGUGAAUUGCAGAAUUCAGUGAAUCAUCGAAUCUUUGAACGCACAUUGCGCCCGCCAGUAUUCUGGCGGGCAUGCCUGUUCGAGCGUCAUUUCAACCAUCAAGCCCCCGGCUUGUGUUGGGGACCUGCGGCUGCCGCAGGCCCCGAAAAGCAGUGGCGGGCUCGCUGUCACACCGAGCGUAGUAGCAUACAUCUCGCUCUGGGCGUGCUGCGGGUUCCGGCCGUUAAACCACCUUCAUAACCCAAGGUUGACCUCGGAUCAGGUAGGAAGACCCGCUGAACUUAAGCAUAUCAAUAAGCGGAGGA
This 336-nucleotide unclassified non-coding RNA is filed under the name soil metagenome. RNAcentral's name for it is "partial contains 5.8S ribosomal RNA, internal transcribed spacer 2, and large subunit ribosomal RNA". The stretch from base 1 to 120 matches the Rfam family "5.8S ribosomal RNA", at positions 35 to 154 of the family's 154-position model. The record is from RNAcentral.